This 253-nucleotide ribosomal RNA is filed under the name uncultured bacterium. RNAcentral describes it as "partial 16S ribosomal RNA". It matches the Rfam family "Bacterial small subunit ribosomal RNA", at positions 524 to 776 of the family's 1533-position model. The record is from RNAcentral.
UACGUGGGGGGCGAGCGUUGUCCGGAAUUAUUGGGCGUAAAGAGCUCGUAGGCGGUUAGUCGCGUCUGCUGUGAAAACUCGGGGCUUAACUCCGGGCCUGCAGUGGGUACGGGCUGACUAGAGUGCGGUAGGGGAGACUGGAAUUCCUGGUGUAGCGGUGAAAUGCGCAGAUAUCAGGAGGAACACCGGUGGCGAAAGCGGGUCUCUGAACCGUAACUGACGCUGAGGAGCGAAAGCGUGGGGAGCGAACAGG